UUUUGACCACAGGGCGAUGCACGAAGAUGCACAAGAACCAGAGGGGGAUUCAAUGGAGCCUGAAUACCUGCACUGAGACCCUCACCCUGCACCUUGAGUCUCAACUCUGUGUUUUUCAAGCCUUUCCCUGUUAUUUGUAUUAAACCAAACAUUAAGCUUCCCAA
Molecule: long non-coding RNA, 164 nt
Organism: Gymnodraco acuticeps
Lineage: Eukaryota; Metazoa; Chordata; Actinopteri; Perciformes; Bathydraconidae
Exons: 2
Source: RefSeq, a predicted model, not a curated record